Alnus glutinosa is the source of this 954-nucleotide long non-coding RNA. RefSeq lists it as uncharacterized. The transcript has 2 exons. NCBI's taxonomy places the organism in Eukaryota, Viridiplantae, Streptophyta, Magnoliopsida, Fagales, Betulaceae. The record is from RefSeq and is a predicted model, not a curated record.
UGUAAAAAACUCUUCUAAAACCUUAUGCUCUUAGCUAAAGACAUUACUUGAACCAAGAGUUAUUUUUACUAAAAUAUUUUCGUAUUUCUAUAAAGCUACAAUUCCUAAAAGAAAAAAAAAAUAAUUUUUUUUGAAUAAGAAGUAUGUUUUUCAAUGGUCUCAAUCUAUUUAAUUCUUAUAAUGGUUCAAGGCUUUAAUCUCAAUAAAUAGCUUUUGUAUUAACAUUCGAUUAAGAGAACUUUUAAAGUGAGAGAAAUAUGAUGUUUAGGAAAAGUAUGAUAAAAUUUAUUAUGUUCGUGAUGAUGGAGUUGAUUAUCCUCGUGAUAUUCAAAGUGCAUGCUCAUGAAAAUACUUCUCUUUCUCCCGCUCCCACUGCGCUACCAACCAGGCUUCAUCUUUUCCAACUUGAUAAUGACGAUAUGAGUUAUAUUGAACGUUGCAUUGAAAGCACACUUGCAAAGAGCACACAAUCUUUUUAUAUUGCUAAACAUCUUCUUGAAUGCCUUUUUGAGGACCCGAUGCAUCCUAAAGAUUAUCCAAUAAGCUUUUUUGAGGCGUGGAUGAGGUUCCUUCGUUAUUGUAUUUUGACAGAGAAAUUUCUUGCCAUCAAUCAUGCAUAUUGUAUAGCAGAUCGCUAUAGAGCAAAACUGAAGAAGCAUUAAAGAUCUAUAUCUACAAUCAGUGAGCUUCGAGUUUGGGUGUCUAAGAUGCGUGGCAUUAUAGGUCGGUGAACAAGAUUUUGAAUAGUUGGAUGGCAUAGAUAACAACUCUUAGCUUUCUUGCUCCUUUUAUUUAUGUCUCUCUUGAGUUAUAAAAAUAAAGAUGUAGAGAUACUUUUACUUGAUUUUGUGUUUGAAUUUUGGUCAACCGACCCCAAGAUUGUAUUAUUCUUGAGUAGUUUAUGUUAUUAGACUAUAUGUGGGUUGAUUGGAAAUAUGUUAAUUUUUUUUUUAA